This 438-nucleotide long non-coding RNA is filed under the name Lathyrus oleraceus (garden pea). RNAcentral's name for it is "Pisum sativum (pea) long non-coding RNA (PSAT_LNC040165)". The record is from RNAcentral. Lineage: Eukaryota; Viridiplantae; Streptophyta; Magnoliopsida; Fabales; Fabaceae.
UUAGUUAAAUUCCGUUAUGGGCAAUUACUUAUCUUGAGUCAAGUUAAUUUUUUGGCUAAACUUCAGUUUGUCAAAAUCUGUUAUUUUAUUGUCAAAAUAUGUUAUUCUACAUUCUUUGUGUUUAAGGAAUGAUAUAGCACAUUAUCAUUAAACACACAUACAACACAAAAAAACAAAAAUACUUUACUCAAUUAAUAUCAAUAUACACCCAAAAUGCAAAAUAAAAUGCAAAAAAACUUUCCUUUUGCAACCGCAAUAUUGGAUGCUUCAAAUCAACUACUACACCCUGUUUAUCAAAAAAAUAAAUUAAAAAAAAGGAAAUUAAACAAAAAUAUCACAACAACACUCACAAAAUAUUACAAAGUUAAUAAAAUAAGUUUUCCAUAACCCUUGGAAGGGAAACCACUUCAUCCUCUACAAAAUUCUUUGUUCAAGAUA